Molecule: ribosomal RNA, 1333 nt
Filed under: uncultured bacterium
Lineage: Bacteria
Description: bacterial SSU rRNA
Rfam family: Bacterial small subunit ribosomal RNA
Source: RNAcentral
GACGAACGCUGGCGGCGCGCCUAACACAUGCAAGUCGAACGAGAGAUGAGGAGCUUGCUCUUCAAAUCGAGUGGCGAACGGGUGAGUAACGCGUGAGGAACCUGCCUCAAAGAGGGGGACAACAGUUGGAAACGACUGCUAAUACCGCAUAAGCCCACGGCUCGGCAUCGAGCAGAGGGAAAAGGAGCAAUCCGCUUUGAGAUGGCCUCGCGUCCGAUUAGCUAGUUGGUGAGGUAACGGCCCACCAAGGCGACGAUCGGUAGCCGGACUGAGAGGUUGAACGGCCACAUUGGGACUGAGACGCGGCCCAGACUCCUACGGGAGGCAGCAGUGGGGAAUAUUGCACAAUGGGGGAAACCCUGAUGCAGCGACGCCGCGUGGAGGAAGAAGGUCUUCGGAUUGUAAACUCCUGUUGUUGAGGAAGAUAAUGACGGUACUCAACAAGGAAGUGACGGCUAACUACGUGCCAGCAGCCGCGGUAAAACGUAGGUCACAAGCGUUGUCCGGAAUUACUGGGUGUAAAGGGAGCGCAGGCGGGAGAACAAGUUGGAAGUGAAAUCCAUGGGCUCAACCCAUGAACUGCUUUCAAAACUGUUUUUCUUGAGUAGUGCAGAGGUAGGCGGAAUUCCCGGUGUAGCGGUGGAAUGCGUAGAUAUCGGGAGGAACACCAGUGGCGAAGGCGGCCUACUGGGCACCAACUGACGCUGAGGCUCGAAAGUGUGGGUAGCAGACAGGAUUAGAUACCCUGGUAGUCCACACCGUAAACGAUGAUUACUAGGUGUUGGAGGAUUGACCCCUUCAGUGCCGCAGUUAACACAAUAAGUAAUCCACCUGGGGAGUACGACCGCAAGGUUGAAACUCAAAGGAAUUGACGGGGGCCCGCACAAGCAGUGGAGUAUGUGGUUUAAUUCGACGCAACGCGAAGAACCUUACCAAGUCUUGACAUCCCUUGACGAUGCUGGAAACAGUAUUUCUCUUCGGAGCAAGGAGACAGGUGGUGCAUGGUUGUCGUCAGCUCGUGUCGUGAGAUGUUGGGUUAAGUCCCGCAACGAGCGCAACCCUUAUGGUCAGUUACUACGCAAGAGGACUCUGGCCAGACUGCCGUUGACAAAACGGAGGAAGGUGGGGAUGACGUCAAAUCAUCAUGCCCUUUAUGACUUGGGCUACACACGUACUACAAUGGCGUUAAACAAAGAGAAGCAAGACCGCGAGGUGGAGCAAAACUCAGAAACAACGUCCCAGUUCGGACUGCAGGCUGCAACUCGCCUGCACGAAGUUCGGAAUUGCUAGUAAUCGUGGAUCAGCGUGCCACGGUGAAUACGUUCCCGGGCCU